This 671-nucleotide long non-coding RNA is filed under the name Rattus norvegicus (Norway rat). RNAcentral's name for it is "long non-coding RNA NONRATT005121". Lineage: Eukaryota; Metazoa; Chordata; Mammalia; Rodentia; Muridae. The record is from RNAcentral.
UGUGCGUCCUAGGUGCCCGUGCUCCGCACACUCUUGGCUGCUGACCUCAAGGGUUUCCAGUACUUUACCACUCUGGAGGAGGCAGAGAAAUCCCUGCAGCAGGAACCAGGGACUCAGCCUUACAGCAUCCGUGAAGACACUGCCCCAGAGCACAGGAGCUCCCUACUGAAGUCUCCCUCGGGCCCCUGAACGGCAGCUGGUAUAGGAAGGGUCUCUGGAAGGUUCUGUCGCUGUGACUUGGUGUCACCUGAUAGACUCACCAACCUGGCGGGACUGAAAUGGCUCUAGGGAAGAGCAGGGAGCCAUGUGUGAUUCCGGGGUGUCCCCUAGGUGUGAGUAUUUGAGGGGUGGGGUGGCUAGACAGUCUUCCAGAGAGAGAGAGAGAGAGACCAAGAAAGGUGGGGAAUCAUGUCUUUUGGCCUGGGCUGGCAGGGUAAGCUGGCAUUUUCCAGAUCUCAAGUCCUUCUUUGGAAUCAGACCCUACCAGAGAAGAGUCAGAGAGACCGGGCAUCUCAGAGAUGUGUCUGACCAUGGCGUGAAGACGAACCUGAGCUGAAGAGGCGACCACAGUGUGCCACACAAGGUCAAUUCUGUUUAAAAUCACGUGUUUUGAAGUGGAAGUCACUCUGGUGUUUUUGUAAAGCAAUACGAACACUAAUCCUUGGCUUUUU